RNAcentral lists this ribosomal RNA (529 nucleotides) under Clavispora lusitaniae. RNAcentral describes it as "eukaryotic LSU rRNA". It matches the Rfam family "Eukaryotic large subunit ribosomal RNA", at positions 37 to 666 of the family's 3401-position model. The record is from RNAcentral. Lineage: Eukaryota; Fungi; Ascomycota; Pichiomycetes; Serinales; Metschnikowiaceae.
UGCAUAUCAAAAGCGGAGGAAAAGAAACCAACAGGGAUUGCCCCAGUAACGGCGAGUGAAGCGGCAAAAGCUCAAAUUUGAAAUCCUGCGGGAAUUGUAAUUUGAAGGUUUCGUGGUCUGAGUCGGCCGCGCCCAAGUCCAUUGGAACAUGGCGCCUGGGAGGGUGAGAGCCCCGUAUGGCGCACGCCGACUCUUUGCACCGCGGCUCCGACGAGUCGAGUUGUUUGGGAAUGCAGCUCUAAGUGGGUGGUAAAUUCCAUCUAAAGCUAAAUAUUGGCGAGAGACCGAUAGCGAACAAGUACAGUGAUGGAAAGAUGAAAAGCACUUUGAAAAGAGAGUGAAACAGCACGUGAAAUUGUUGAAAGGGAAGGGCUUGCAAGCAGACACGGUUUUACCGGGCCAGCGUCAGAAUGUGGCGCGCGCCUUCGGGCGCGCGUGUUAUAGCUCGCGUUGAUCCAUCCCUUUUCGAGGCCUGCGAUUCUAGGACGCUGGCGUAAUGGUUGCAAGCCGCCCGUCUUGAAACACGGAC